GUCCUAAGUAACAAAAUAAACAAAAAUGAGGUUUUUGCAUAUUUUAAUACCUAAUAAACUGCUUUAUGCUGUGUAGCAAGAUCACAAUUCAACAAUAGUUAAAAACUUUUUAAAUUGAAAAAAUCAAACUGGCUUAAGUAACAAAGUGACCACUUUUCAUUUGUGUCGCUUUGUCGGUAUAAUGACUUAUGUAACGCACGUAACGCACAACUGACGUAAGUGCGCUGUCAAAGCGUCCUAAGUAACAAAGUAUGUAAAUAAGAAUCAGUAGUGCUUACGUCGUUAUUCUCCUAUAGCGCAAUCCUAAACCACAGAGUGUAUCAUCGUCCUCCUCGGUCCAAAGACGGUUCCGGUGGAAGCUCUGGUGGAAAAAAAACCUGUAUAUCUUCACUAAAAUCAGUUACCAGCAAUCAGGCCAUCAGUAGCCAGCAGCCUCACAGUUCUAAAAGCGGCGCUUCCGCGCUUAUACGAAUGGAGGUCAAAAUAGGUUUCUCCCGGUCCAAGUAGAACUAAAAGCAGUAGGAGCAGCGGAUCUCCGUCCUCCUCCUCGUUGCCAUAGUCGUCUGCACCAAGCGCAACUUUGUUUUGCCUCGCCUCGGUUUCAAAUCCUCCACUUCGGUCCGGCAUCGUCAGCUGUAACGGUGACCCUGGCAGCGCAUUUUUCAUGGUCACAAUGCUGGGUAAGAGCUCGGAAAACAUCGUCAAACCCAGCUCGGGCGGAACCAACUGACCAUACAGAUCAUUGGAAGCCACAAAAGGUGAAAAAACUGCCAGCAACUGCAGGUCUUGCUCAUCGUCGUCGUCGCCAACUUCCAAGAACAGCAGCUCCGAACCAAACCACCAAGUAUACCGCCGAAAAUGCCAAUGGAGUGGAGAGUAGAAUUUUUGAAAUUGGUGCGGUGGUACUUUCUAAAAACUUUUCAGCUAGCAGCAGCAGGUUCACUUAGUUCUGUGAUUAUUAAUCUCAAGUCUGCUUAUGGUGGCCAAAGGAAGUACUUGAUGCUACUCCCAAAGCUAGCUCAGCAAGCAAGAAAAAAUGAAUUUCAAAAGAAUCUGGAAAGAAUGUUCCCUCGGCGUCAUCGUCGGCUACACUGGCUACAGGCCCCCCACUUCGAACGGACCGGCAUCGCCAGCUGCAACAGUGACUCUGACAACGCAUUUCUCAUGGCCACAUUGUUGUGCAAGAACUCUAUGUACAUGGUAUAACCCAGCUCGGACGAAAAUAAACUAACCAUGUAGAU
Aedes albopictus (Asian tiger mosquito) is the source of this 1241-nucleotide long non-coding RNA. RefSeq lists it as uncharacterized. The record is from RefSeq and is a predicted model, not a curated record. The transcript is spliced from 3 exons. Lineage: Eukaryota; Metazoa; Arthropoda; Insecta; Diptera; Culicidae.